GGGGCAGUAGCUCAGCUGGGAGAGCGCUACAUUCGCAUUGUAGAGGUCGAGGGUUCGACUCCCUUCUGCUCCA
Molecule: transfer RNA, 73 nt
Filed under: Bacteroidota bacterium
Lineage: Bacteria; Pseudomonadati; Bacteroidota
Description: tRNA-Ala
Rfam family: tRNA
About the family: Transfer RNA (tRNA) molecules are approximately 80 nucleotides in length. Their secondary structure includes four short double-helical elements and three loops (D, anti-codon, and T loops).
Source: RNAcentral